GACGAACGCUGGCGGCGUGCCUAAUACAUGCAAGUAGAACGCUGAAGAGAGGAGCUUGCUCUUCUUGGAUGAGUUGCGAACGGGUGAGUAACGCGUAGGUAACCUGCCUUGUAGCGGGGGAUAACUAUUGGAAACGAUAGCUAAUACCGCAUAACAAUGGAUGACACAUGUCAUUUAUUUGAAAGGGGCAAUUGCUCCACUACAAGAUGGACCUGCGUUGUAUUAGCUAGUAGGUGAGGUAACGGCUCAC
Molecule: ribosomal RNA, 250 nt
Filed under: uncultured bacterium
Lineage: Bacteria
Description: partial 16S ribosomal RNA
Rfam family: Bacterial small subunit ribosomal RNA
Source: RNAcentral